GUCUGUUCAAUUCUUGCUCCAAGAUUAUUCGCUACAUUUUUUUUUUUUUUUGCCUCACUUCUAGGUGGAUGGAUAAUGGCAGAAAUCAGAUGGUUUCAGCAUACUACCUAUCUGGAGUACUUAAGGAAGAGAUGGUGGAAGGAUCCCCCCCGGAGUAUAGUUUUAACUCUUCAGGAAUCCUUUUUCUAAUGGCUGGAGCCCUCUGAGCUGAGGUGACUUGGGAAAGAGAGGCAGUUUAUAAAUUAUAGGAUGCACAAAAUAGCCCUUCCAGGAGCUCUCUGAGAAUGGGUUUUUUUUUUCUUUCCCCAGGUCCCUUCCUACCAGUUGCUGUUUCUUCUGUAGAAACACUUGUUGCAGUUAAACCAGAAGAAACCAGCUUGUGCUUUGGUGCUGGGUUUGUGCCGGUGAGUUCAAUUUCUUGCUUGAUAGGACAGGUUCUGAUCCACUGUUGAAUGCAGCUGUAAGAAUUCAGGUUUAAAGAAGCAAGUCUCCCCCAAGAUGGAGGUGAAAGCAGGAGAUGAGCAUGCCGAUGCAGACAAGCAAGCAUUCUGAAAACUUCAAACGGGCCAAGAAACAUAAUCUCCAGUAUCUGAAACAGUUUGUCCUGCUUACUCCUGUUCCUCUAUUCACGUCUUCUUCCUAGAAUUCUAAACCCUCUGGCCUCUUGUGAAGCACUCUGUCUUGCUGAACUACCCACUACUCUUAUUCUACAAAGACGGUCCCCACUUUGGAUGGUUCAGUGUAAAAACCAAGGGUUGAGACUGUGUGUCAAAGAUGUCAUGACAAGUCCUCCAAAAAGCAGCUUGUUUUGCUUCCCCUGUUGGGAGCCUAGCAUGCAAGUUCCCAUUUCAUAGAGAAGUUGUGCAUGUGUGUGUGAUUAAAGGGCAAAGCGCUCAACACUCUAGCUUAUACCAGGGGUGGGCAGUUAUUUCAGGCGUAGGGCCACUUUACUGAGUUUUGGCAAGCCAUUGAGGGCCGCGUGACAGGCAGCCGGGGUAGACAAAUAUUAAUUUUCUAAAUUUUUUACG
This 1028-nucleotide long non-coding RNA is filed under the name Crocodylus porosus (Australian saltwater crocodile). RNAcentral's name for it is "lncRNA (ENSCPRG00005002308.1)". Lineage: Eukaryota; Metazoa; Chordata; Crocodylia; Crocodylidae. The record is from RNAcentral.